This 460-nucleotide ribosomal RNA is filed under the name uncultured bacterium. RNAcentral's name for it is "partial 16S ribosomal RNA". It matches the Rfam family "Bacterial small subunit ribosomal RNA", at positions 338 to 795 of the family's 1533-position model. The record is from RNAcentral.
CCUACGGGUGGCAGCAGUGAGGAAUAUUGGUCAAUGGGCGCGAGCCUGAACCAGCCAAGUAGCGUGAAGGAUGACUGCCCUACGGGUUGUAAACUUCUUUUAUAGAGGAAUAAAGUGAGGCACGUGUGCCUUUUUGUAUGUACUUUAUGAAUAAGGAUCGGCUAACUCCGUUCCAGCAGCCGAGGUAAUCCUGAGGAUCCGAUCGUUAUCCGGAUUUAUUGGGUUUAAAGGGAGCGUAGAUGGGUUGUUAAGUCAGUUGUGAAAGUUUGCGGCUCAACCGUAAAAUUGCAAUUGAUACUGGCAGCCUUGAGUACAGUUGAGGUAGGCGGAAUUCGUGGUGUAGCGGUGAAAUGCUUAGAUAUCACGAAGAACUCCGAUUGCGAAGGCAGCUUACUAAACUGCCACUGACAUUGAUGCUCGAAAGUGUGGGUAUCAAACAGGAUUAGAUACCCGAGUAGUC